RNAcentral lists this ribosomal RNA (446 nucleotides) under uncultured bacterium. RNAcentral describes it as "bacterial SSU rRNA". It matches the Rfam family "Bacterial small subunit ribosomal RNA", at positions 355 to 793 of the family's 1533-position model. The record is from RNAcentral.
UAGGGAAUCUUCGGCAAUGGGCGAAAGCCUGACCGAGCAACGCCGCGUGAAUGAUGAAGGCCUUCGGGUUGUAAAAUUCUGUUAUAAGGGAAGAACGACUUUAGUAGGAAAUGGCUAGAGUGUGACGGUACCUUAUGAGAAAGCCACGGCUAACUACGUGCCAGCAGCCGCGGUAAUACGUAGGUGGCGAGCGUUAUCCGGAAUUAUUGGGCGUAAAGAGCGCGCAGGUGGUUGAUUAAGUCUGAUGUGAAAGCCCACGGCUUAACCGUGGAGGGUCAUUGGAAACUGGUCGACUUGAGUGCAGAAGAGGGAAGUGGAAUUCCAUGUGUAGCGGUGAAAUGCGUAGAGAUAUGGAGGAACACCAGUGGCGAAGGCGGCUUCCUGGUCUGUAACUGACACUGAGGCGCGAAAGCGUGGGGAGCAAACAGGAUUAGAAACCCUUGUAG